This 119-nucleotide ribosomal RNA is filed under the name Pteropus alecto (black flying fox). The record is from RNAcentral. Lineage: Eukaryota; Metazoa; Chordata; Mammalia; Chiroptera; Pteropodidae.
AUCUAAGGCCAUGCCACCCUGAACAUGCCUGAUCUCAUCUGAUCUUGGAAGCUAAGCAGGAUCGGGCCUGGUUAGUACAUGGAUAGGAGACCACCUAGGAAUACCAGGUGCUGUAGGCA